GACGAACGCUGGCGGCGUGCCUAAUACAUGCAAGUAGAACGCUGAAGGAGGAGCUUGCUCUUCUGGAUGAGUUGCGAACGGGUGAGUAACGCGUAGGUAACCUGCCUGGUAGCGGGGGAUAACUAUUGGAAACGAUAGCUAAUACCGCAUAAGAGUAGAUGUUGCAUGACAUUUACUUAAAAGGUGCAAUUGCAUCACUACCAGAUGGACCUGCGUUGUAUUAGCUAGUUGGUGGGGUAACGGCUUACCAAGGCGACGAUACAUAGCCGACCUGAGAGGGUGAUCGGCCACACUGGGACUGAGACACGGCCCAGACUCCUACGGGAGGCAGCAGUAGGGAAUCUUCGGCAAUGGACGGAAGUCUGACCGAGCAACGCCGCGGGAGUGAAGAAGGGUGUCGGAUCGUAAAGCUCGGUUGUAAGAGAAGAACGAGUGUGAGAGUGGAAAGUUCACACUGUGACGGUAUCUUACCAGAAAGGGACGGCUAACUACGUG
This 495-nucleotide ribosomal RNA is filed under the name uncultured bacterium. RNAcentral describes it as "partial 16S ribosomal RNA". It matches the Rfam family "Bacterial small subunit ribosomal RNA", at positions 28 to 507 of the family's 1533-position model. The record is from RNAcentral.